AUUGAACGCUGGCGGCAGGCUUAACACAUGCAAGUCGAACGAGUGGCGGACGGGUGAGUAAUGCUUGGGAAUCUAGCUUAUGGAGGGGGAUAACUACGGGAAACUGUAGCUAAUACCGCGUACCAUAGGAUGAGCCCAAGUGGGCUUAGGUAGUUGGUGUGGUAAAGGCUCACCAAGCCGACGAACUCUAGCUGGUCUGAGAGGAUGACCAGCCACACUGGGACUGAGACACGGCCCAGACUCCUACGGGAGGCAGCAGUGGGGAAUAUUGCGCAAUGGGGGAAACCUGACGCAGCCAUGCCGCGUGAAUGAAGAAGGCCUUCGGGUUGUAAAGUUCUUUCGGUAGCGGGGCGUUAACUACAGAGGAAGCACCGGCUAACUCCGUGCCAGCCGCCGCGGUAAUAC
RNAcentral lists this ribosomal RNA (405 nucleotides) under uncultured bacterium. RNAcentral's name for it is "partial 16S ribosomal RNA". It matches the Rfam family "Bacterial small subunit ribosomal RNA", at positions 30 to 526 of the family's 1533-position model. The record is from RNAcentral.